Molecule: ribosomal RNA, 496 nt
Filed under: uncultured bacterium
Lineage: Bacteria
Description: partial 16S ribosomal RNA
Rfam family: Bacterial small subunit ribosomal RNA
Source: RNAcentral
AUGAACGCUGGCGGCGUGCCUAAUACAUGCCAGUCGCGCGAACAGACGAGGAGCUUGCUCCUCUGACGUUAGCGGCGGACGGGUGAGUAACACGUGGAUAACCUACCUAUAAGACUGGGAUAACUUCGGGAAACCGGAGCUAAUACCGGAUAAUAUAUUGAACCGCAUGGUUCAAUAGUGAAAGACGGUUUUGCUGUCACUUAUAGAUGGAUCCGCGCCGCAUUAGCUAGUUGGUAAUGUAACGGCUUACCAAGGCAACGAUGCGUAGCCGACCUGAGAGGGUGAUCGGCCACACUGGAACUGAGACACGGUCCAGACUCCUACGGGAGGCAGCAGUAGGGAAUCUUCCGCAAUGGGCGAAAGCCUGACGGAGCAACGCCGCGUGAGUGAUGAAGGUCUUCGGAUCGUAAAACUCUGUUAUUAGGGAAGAACAAAUGUGUAAGUAACUAUGCACGUCUUGACGGUACCUAAUCAGAAAGCCACGGCUAACUACGUG